Molecule: ribosomal RNA, 1388 nt
Filed under: metagenome
Description: bacterial SSU rRNA
Rfam family: Bacterial small subunit ribosomal RNA
Source: RNAcentral
GAGUAUCACGUGGGUAACCUGCCCCGGAGACCGGGAUAACAUGGGGAAACCUGUGCUAAUACCGGAUAUCCUGCCUUUCCCGCAUGGCAUCGGUAGAAAAAGGUAGGCUUUGCCAUCCGCUCCGGGAUGGGCCCGCGGCCCAUUAGCUUGUCGGUAGGGUAACGGCCUACCGAGGCAACGAUGGGUAGCCGGCCUGAGAGGGUGUCCGGCCACACUGGGACUGAGAUACGGCCCAGACUCCUACGGGAGGCAGCAGUGGGGAAUAUUGCGCAAUGGGCGAAAGCCUGACGCAGCGACGCCGCGUGGGCGAAGAAGGCCUUCGGGUUGUAAAGCCCUGUCAGGGGGGAAGAAGGGCAACUGACGGUACCCCCAGAGGAAGCCCCGGCCAACUACGUGCCAGCAGCCGCGGUAAAACGUAGGGGGCGAGCGUUGUCCGGAAUCAUUGGGCGUAAAGAGCACGUAGGCGGCCCGUUUAGUCGGAUGUGAAAACCCGCGGCUCAACUGCGGGACUGCAUUCGAAACUGGCGGGCUGGAGUCCGGUAGAGGAAAGUGGAAUUCCCAGUGUACCGGUGAAAUGCGCAGAUAUUGGGAAGAACACCGGUGGCGAAGGCGGCUUUCUGGGCCGAGACUGACGCUGAGGUGCGAAAGCUAGGGGAGCGAACAGGAUUAGAUACCCUGGUAGUCCUAGCCGUAAACGAUGGGCACUAGGUGUGGGGAGUGUCAACUCUCUCCGUGCCGAAGCUAACGCAUUAAGUGCCCCGCCUGGGGAGUACGGUCGCAAGGCUAAAACUCAAAGGAAUUGACGGGGGCCCGCACAAGCGGCGGAGCAUGUGGCUUAAUUCGACACAACGCGAAGAACCUUACCAGGGCUUGACAUGCAUCUGAAAGGCGUGGAAACACGUCCCCCUUUAUGGCAGUUGCACAGGUGGUGCAUGGCUGUCGUCAGCUCGUGUCGUGAGAUGUUGGGUUAAGUCCCGCAACGAGCGCAACCCUUGUCCUGUGUUGCCAGCGGUUCGGCCGGGGACUCACAGGAGACUGCCGGUGACAAACCGGAGGAAGGUGGGGACGACGUCAAGUCAUCAUGCCCCUUAUGCCCUGGGCUGCACACGUGCUACAAUGGCCGGUACAGAGGGCUGCGAAACCGCGAGGUGGAGCCAAUCCCAAAAAGCCGGUCUAAGUUCGGAUUGGAGGCUGCAACUCGCCUCCAUGAAGUCGGAGUCGCUAGUAAUCGCGAAUCAGCACGUCGCGGUGAAUACGUUCCCGGGCCUUGUACACACCGCCCGUCACACCACGAAAGCUGGCAACACCCGAAGCCGGUGGCCUAACCCUUUUAGGGAGGGAACCGUCGAAGGUGGGGUUAGUGAUUGGGGUGAAGUCGAAACAAGGUA